RNAcentral lists this ribosomal RNA (372 nucleotides) under uncultured organism. Its description in RNAcentral is "bacterial SSU rRNA". It matches the Rfam family "Bacterial small subunit ribosomal RNA", at positions 526 to 896 of the family's 1533-position model. The record is from RNAcentral.
CGUAGGGGGCAAGCGUUGUCCGGAAUCAUUGGGCGUAAAGCGCGUGUAGGCGGCCAGAUAAGUCCGCUGUGAAAUCUCGAGGCUCAACUUCGAGCUGUCGGUGGAAACUGUCUGGCUAGAGUCCGGAAGAGGAGAGUGGAAUUCCUGGUGUAGCGGUGAAAUGCGCAGAUAUCAGGAAGAACACCCGUGGCGAAGGCGGCUCUCUGGGACGGUACUGACGCUGAGACGCGAAAGCGUGGGGAGCAAACAGGAUUAGAUACCCUGGUAGUCCACGCCGUAAACGAUGGGAACUAGGUGUGGGCGGUGUCGACUCCGUCCGUGCCGAAGCUAACGCAUUAAGUUCCCCGCCUGGGGAGUACGGCCGCAAGGCUA